ACGGGUGAGUAAUGCCUAGGAAUCUGCCUGGUAGUGGGGGAUAACGCUCGGAAACGGACGCUAAUACCGCAUACGUCCUACGGGAGAAAGCAGGGGACCUUCGGGCCUUGCGCUAUCAGAUGAGCCUAGGUCGGAUUAGCUAGUUGGUGGGGUAAUGGCUCACCAAGGCGACGAUCCGUAACUGGUCUGAGAGGAUGAUCAGUCACACUGGAACUGAGACACGGUCCAGACUCCUACGGGAGGCAGCAGUGGGGAAUAUUGGACAAUGGGCGAAAGCCUGAUCCAGCCAUGCCGCGUGUGUGAAGAAGGUCUUCGGAUUGUAAAGCACUUUAAGUUGGGAGGAAGGGCAUUAACCUAAUACGUUAGUGUUUUGACGUUACCGACAGAAUAAGCACCGGCUAACUCUGUGCCAGCAGCCGCGGUAAUACAGAGGGUGCAAGCGUUAAUCGGAAUUACUGGGCGUAAAGCGCGCGUAGGUGGUUCGUUAAGUUGGAUGUGAAAUCCCCGGGCUCAACCUGGGAACUGCAUUCAAAACUGUCGAGCUAGAGUAUGGUAGAGGGUGGUGGAAUUUCCUGUGUAGCGGUGAAAUGCGU
Molecule: ribosomal RNA, 593 nt
Filed under: Pseudomonas sp. HRTP131
Lineage: Bacteria; Pseudomonadati; Pseudomonadota; Gammaproteobacteria; Pseudomonadales; Pseudomonadaceae
Description: bacterial SSU rRNA
Rfam family: Bacterial small subunit ribosomal RNA
Source: RNAcentral